ACUUCCUCCGUCAACUCCAGUUUGAGGAAAGGCAAAGGAAAGGCAAACUCUGAUCCCUGGAUCAUAUGUAACAAAGGCGCUGCAGAAAUGCAGUUGCUGGCAGUGUAACUCACUAGAAAACUAAGGUUUCAGCCAAGUUUUCCAUCCUGUUCAGUGUCUCCUGUGUACUCUUCAAGAACUCCUCAUGCUCUCUAAUGAACUGAAGUAUAGAAAAUCUCCUCCAGUCCUUCUCUUCUAACAGAGUGACCAGCUCUUACACUUGCUGCAGAUGUAGUCUAUGAUGCUUGGGACUUAUGUAGUCCCAAUGGCAGCAGAAUUCUGUUCCCCUGCCCCACAAUCAUGCCUGAGUGUUUUGUUUUGUUUUAAACUCAUCUUCUGUC
Hemicordylus capensis (graceful crag lizard) is the source of this 380-nucleotide long non-coding RNA. RefSeq lists it as uncharacterized. The record is from RefSeq and is a predicted model, not a curated record. NCBI's taxonomy places the organism in Eukaryota, Metazoa, Chordata, Lepidosauria, Squamata, Cordylidae. The transcript is spliced from 3 exons.